AAAUUGAAGAGUUUGAUCAUGGCUCAGAUUGAACGCUGGCGGCAGGCCUAACACAUGCAAGUCGAACGGUAACAGGAAGCAGCUUGCUGCUUCGCUGACGAGUGGCGGACGGGUGAGUAAUGUCUGGGAAACUGCCUGAUGGAGGGGGAUAACUACUGGAAACGGUGGCUAAUACCGCAUAACGUCGCAAGACCAAAGAGGGGGAUCUUCGGGCCUCUUGCC
This 222-nucleotide ribosomal RNA is filed under the name Salmonella enterica. Its description in RNAcentral is "partial 16S ribosomal RNA". It matches the Rfam family "Bacterial small subunit ribosomal RNA", at positions 1 to 219 of the family's 1533-position model. The record is from RNAcentral. Lineage: Bacteria; Pseudomonadati; Pseudomonadota; Gammaproteobacteria; Enterobacterales; Enterobacteriaceae.